GACGAACGCUGGCGGCGUGCUUAACACAUGCAAGUCGAACGGUAAGGCCCCAGCUUGCUGGGGUACACGAGUGGCGAACGGGUGAGUAACACGUGGGUGACCUGCCCCGCACUUCGGGAUAAGCCUGGGAAACUGGGUCUAAUACCGGAUAGGACCGCACCGUGAGGGUGUGGUGGAAAGUUUUUCGGUGUGGGAUGGGCCCGCGGCCUAUCAGCUUGUUGGUGGGGUAAUGGCCUACCAAGGCGGCGACGGGUAGCCGGCCUGAGAGGGUGGACGGCCACAUUGGGACUGAGACACGGCCCAGACUCCUACGGGAGGCAGCGGUGGGGAAUAUUGCACAAUGGGCGGAAGCCUGAUGAGGCGACGCCGCGUGGGGGAUGACGGCCUUCGGGUUGUAAACUCCUUUCACCAUCGACGAAGGUUUUCUGACGGUAGAUGGAGAAGAAGCACCGGCUAACUACGUG
This 464-nucleotide ribosomal RNA is filed under the name uncultured bacterium. Its description in RNAcentral is "partial 16S ribosomal RNA". It matches the Rfam family "Bacterial small subunit ribosomal RNA", at positions 28 to 507 of the family's 1533-position model. The record is from RNAcentral.